This 94-nucleotide transfer RNA is filed under the name Colletotrichum fructicola Nara gc5. RNAcentral's name for it is "tRNA-Pro for anticodon AGG". It matches the Rfam family "tRNA". Rfam says of the family: Transfer RNA (tRNA) molecules are approximately 80 nucleotides in length. Lineage: Eukaryota; Fungi; Ascomycota; Sordariomycetes; Glomerellales; Glomerellaceae. The record is from RNAcentral. RNAcentral also lists the same sequence under 1 other name.
GCCCUGAUGGUCUAGCGGUAUGAUUCUCCCUUAGGGUUGUCAGUUCGAUGGUUCGAUCUGGGAGAGGUCCCAGGUUCGAUCCCUGGUUAGGGCC